UGAACCGUCCACACCAGGCGGAUCCAAAGUCUCUCGCUCACCUCUCGGCAGACCAACCCAAACCCUAGCAGCCCGCGGUCGCGUAUCUCACCCCUCUCCCAGGUCCAGAUCGACGACGACGUCCCUCCAUCGCCGCCCCCUCCUUCCCCGCUCCCACCCCGCCGGCGCUCUCACCCACCCAUCGGCGGCCUCGCUCCCAAAAUCCGCUCGUCGAUGCCCCACCACCAUGCCCCCUCCCCUCACCCGCCCCACCUUCUCUCCCUACCUAACCAGAUCGAGCCGGCCAGGCGGCAGCGGCCAUGGUUUUGGCUUCUCUCCGGGCGGAUUCCUCCCUCCCCUCGUCGUCUUCAUACGAGGAUGGACGCCCUACCUGCCGAUGCUCCCCCAUAUAUACCCCGCUCCUCCAGCCCCACACCACCUGCCGUCGCCGUCGCCGCCGACAAGCCCCUCCUCCGCGUCGCCGACCACCACCCGAGAUCCGCCCUUCCCCGAUGACCAUGCCGGUGGCGCAGGACCCCGUCGGCGCGGGCGCGGACGCCGCCUCGUCCCGCCGCAACCGCCGCCGCCACAAGAAGUCCUCCUCCGCCAACGCCAACGCCGCUGCUUCCGCGGUCCCUGUCCCCGCCCCGGCCCCGGCGCCGCCCACGCCGAUGCAGCGCCUCUUCGACACCAGCCGCGAGGUCUUCACCGGAUCCGCCCCCGGCUUCGUUCCCCCGCCGAUGCCGUCGUCCGCCUCUCCGCAAUCCUCAUUGAAAGAGUUCAUUCUGGGCAGCCGGAGGCGUACGAGUUCAAGAUCGGCGACAAGUUUUUUCGGAGGUCCGGAGACCCACCCCUGGACCAAGUUAUCGAGAUGCUACAGAAGCACAAGGAUAAGUCUCAAGAUGAAAUCUAGCUAGCUGGCUACAGUAUGCCUUAUGCUCUUGUUGAUUUAUUUCUUUUGCGCUCUUUUGCAGUUCUAAUUGAUGAGUGAGUGAUCUGGUAGCAGCUAGCUAACUGCCUCUAGAUUGUAACCCUGUUAUGGGAUGUGUGGUUGCGCAUGCGUUCUGCAUUGUCAAAUGUGUUCUCUGUUGUCACACAUCGUAUGCGAUGUUGUUCAUAGUUUUAUAUUUGUUGUCAUGCGAUGCGGUCACUGAAUUGCUCAAAUUUGCUGGCCAAGUACUAUGUAGUGCUGUUCUAUGCUAGGCCACCAGGCUAGGUAACUUCUGUAUCAAAAUCAUGGGUUCUAAUCUUUACUAUUAUCUGCCAUGGAUCAGCGAUGAUGCGUCACAGGUAGUAGUAGUAGAGUCGGACUUGGUGCUGCAUUACCCAGUUAUUAGCUCCUCGAUCUGUUCCUCACAGCAUGGGGUCAGCACUUUACCUCAACUUGUCUGCAUUUUCUCUCGCACACUAGACUUGCUCAUCCAUAACAUAAUGGCAGUGCGUGAGUGAGUCCUGUAGGUAUGUUUGUUUUUGGGCUGGUUGUAGAUGGCUUUGUAUGUUAUGGUAGUGUGCUUGCUCUCCCUGCUCUGCUUUCUCUUGGAGAAGAGAAGAGCAGGGUAAGUAAAACAAACAACACUUGUUUGCAGCUAAUGCGUACAAACACACUAGCAGCUCUCUUUUAAUGAAAUUCUUCAAUCUUUCCAAUUCUGAUGAUUUUUUAACUGUAUAUUUCAGAAAUCCAAGGGCAGUAGUAUUUCAUAAGAAGUGGUGUGUGACAACACGUCCGAUGCUUCGGUCCUGAAGCUCUUUGGGAAGACAGUUGUUGUGAACAAAUCACAUCAGCUGCCAAGCCGACGGUGGUGAGGACACCGAGUUCGUCAAGGAGGAGCAGGGAUGGCGCAGGCGAUGGAGGAGUGGUACCAGCAGAUGCCCAUCAUCACGCGCUCCUACCUCAUCGCCGCCGUCCUCACCACCGUCGGCUGCACCCUCGAGAUCAUCUUGCCGUACCACCUGUACCUGAACCCCAAGCUGGUGGUGCAGCACUACCGGAUCUGGCGCCUUGUCACCAACUUCCUCUACUUCCACAAGAUGGGUGCCGAUGAGUAGAGGCUGGUUGAAUCCUUGAUGUCCUACAUUGCCGGAAACCCUAGAAUGUCCGACACUGAAUUCGUCAAGCUCAAGCUCACACUCAAGCGACUAUUGCUGGUGUGCUGAAAGUUGCUUAGAGCUCAUGUAGAUCAGUAUGAACCAAGAUUUGAGAUUUGGAAGCUGGGAAGCUGGGGAAUGUGAAGUUUGAAGAGACCUGGAGUAUCUAGACUGAUUGCCAUUUGUAUAUGUGUUAUAUGAUGAUGUAACACACUGAUUCUGCUAUUGUAUGAUGUAUCAAACUGAUUUUGGCUAUUAUUUGAAGUGUUACGUGUGUUCUUUGUC
RNA transcript from Triticum aestivum (bread wheat), 2349 nucleotides. It is a transcript of the gene named formin-like protein 5, with no coding region annotated. Lineage: Eukaryota; Viridiplantae; Streptophyta; Magnoliopsida; Poales; Poaceae. The transcript has 6 exons. The record is from RefSeq and is a predicted model, not a curated record.